This 253-nucleotide ribosomal RNA is filed under the name uncultured bacterium. Its description in RNAcentral is "partial 16S ribosomal RNA". It matches the Rfam family "Bacterial small subunit ribosomal RNA", at positions 524 to 776 of the family's 1533-position model. The record is from RNAcentral.
UACGAGGGGGGCGAGCGUUGUUCGGAAUUAUUGGGCGUAAAGGGUGCGUAGGCGGUUUGGUAAGUCUGAUGUGAAAUCUAUGGGCUCAACUCAUAGUCUGCAUCGGAAACUGCCGGGCUUGAGUGUGGGAGAGGUGAGUGGAAUUCCUGGUGUAGCGGUGAAAUGCGCAGAUAUCAGGAGGAACACCGAUGGCGAAGGCAGGUCUCUGGGCCACUACUGACGCUGAGAAGCGAAAGCAUGGGGAGCGAACAGG